Molecule: ribosomal RNA, 430 nt
Filed under: bacterium
Lineage: Bacteria
Description: partial 16S ribosomal RNA
Rfam family: Bacterial small subunit ribosomal RNA
Source: RNAcentral
UGGGGAAUAUUGGACAAUGGGCGCAAGCCUGAUCCAGCCAUGCCGCGUGUGUGAAGAAGGCCUUUUGGUUGUAAAGCACUUUAAGCGAGGAGGAGGCUACUUGGAUUAAUACUCUAGGAUAGUGGACGUUACUCGCAGAAUAAGCACCGGCUAACUCUGUGCCAGCAGCCGCGGUAAUACAGAGGGUGCGAGCGUUAAUCGGAUUUACUGGGCGUAAAGCGUGCGUAGGCGGCUUCUUAAGUCGGAUGUGAAAUCCCUGAGCUUAACUUAGGAAUUGCAUUCGAUACUGGGACGCUAGAGUAUGGGAGAGGAUGGUAGAAUUCCAGGUGUAGCGGUGAAAUGCGUAGAGAUCUGGAGGAAUACCGAUGGCGAAGGCAGCCAUCUGGCCUAAUACUGACGCUGAGGUACGAAAGCAUGGGGAGCAAACAGG